CCUUCCCUUUCUGGGUAAGCAGAGCCCAACUAUAAAGAAAACUCUUAGAUAAGAAGAACUGCCUGCCUGGAAGAGAUUUGGAAAAUCUGAGGCAUCCAGAAAGACAUUCUUCAAUCUGUUGAGGUAUCUACAGGCUGUGCAGUAUGCUCCAGGUUCCCAGCUUUUAUGAGUUGUCACAUAUACUGGGGUGAGCUUUGAGGACACAGCUGUCUGAAUCAUCUCUGUUCCUGAAAACCUGCAAGCUUCAGAAAGUUCAUCAUACUGACCAGGAACAAAGAUAAUGAGUCUUCUUAGGUUAUGGUUUAUCUCCUGUCCUUAGACCAGAAGCCUAAAGUAUGCGAGGUCCUUAAGUCUAUGUAGUAACAAAAUCUAGCAACACAGGAAAACGAGCUGAUCACUAAUAAAAACAAAUGAGACAGCCA
Long non-coding RNA from Mastomys coucha (southern multimammate mouse), 422 nucleotides. RefSeq lists it as uncharacterized. The record is from RefSeq and is a predicted model, not a curated record. The transcript has 2 exons. NCBI's taxonomy places the organism in Eukaryota, Metazoa, Chordata, Mammalia, Rodentia, Muridae.